This 484-nucleotide ribosomal RNA is filed under the name uncultured bacterium. RNAcentral describes it as "partial 16S ribosomal RNA". It matches the Rfam family "Bacterial small subunit ribosomal RNA", at positions 29 to 507 of the family's 1533-position model. The record is from RNAcentral.
AUUGAACGCUGGCGGCAUGCUUUACACAUGCAAGUCGAACGGCAGCGCGGGCUUCGGCCUGGCGGCGAGUGGCGAACGGGUGAGUAAUACAUCGGAACGUGCCCAGUAGUGGGGGGUAGCUCGGCGAAAGCCGGAUUAAUACCGCAUACGACCUGAGGGUGAAAGCGGGGGAUCUUCGGACCUCGCGCUAUUGGAGCGGCCGAUGGCAGAUUGGCUAGUUGGUGGGGUAAAGGCCUACCAAGGCGACGAUCUGUAGCUGGUCUGAGAGGACGACCAGCCACACUGGGACUGAGACACGGCCCAGACUCCUACGGGAGGCAGCAGUGGGGAAUUUUGGACAAAGGGCGAAAGCCUGAUCCAGCAAUGCCGCGUGUGUGAUGAAGGCCUUCGGGUUGUAAAGCACUUUUGGCGGGAACGAAAAGGACUGUGCCAAUACCACGGUUCGAUGACGGUACCCGCAGAAUAAGCACCGGCUAACUACGUG